AGAGUGAACGCUGGCGGCAGGCCUGAUACAUGCAAGUCGAACGGCAGCACAGCAGAGCUUGCUCUGUGGGUGGCGAGUGGCGGACGGGUGAGGAAUACAUGGGAAUCUGCCCAGUCGUGGGGGAUAACGUAGGGAAACUUACGCUAAUACCGCAUGCGCCCUUCGGGGGAAAGCCGGGGACCUUCGGGCCUGGCGCGAUUGGAUGAGCCCAUGUCGGAUUAGCUAGGUUGGCGGGGUAACGGCCCACC
Molecule: ribosomal RNA, 248 nt
Filed under: uncultured soil bacterium
Lineage: Bacteria
Description: partial 16S ribosomal RNA
Rfam family: Bacterial small subunit ribosomal RNA
Source: RNAcentral